UACGAAGGGGGCUAGCGUUGCUCGGAAUCACUGGGCGUAAAGGGUGCGUAGGCGGGUCUUUAAGUCAGGGGUGAAAUCCUGGAGCUCAACUCCAGAACUGCCUUUGAUACUGAGGAUCUUGAGUUCGGGAGAGGUGAGUGGAACUGCGAGUGUAGAGGUGAAAUUCGUAGAUAUUGGGAAGAACACCGGUGGCGAAGGCGGCUCACUGGCUCAUUUCUGACGCUCAUGCACGCAGCGUGGGGAUCAAACAGG
Molecule: ribosomal RNA, 252 nt
Filed under: uncultured bacterium
Lineage: Bacteria
Description: partial 16S ribosomal RNA
Rfam family: Bacterial small subunit ribosomal RNA
Source: RNAcentral